CAACAGGUGUCUGUUCAACAGUAACAGUUGCUGUCUAGAAAUGUUAAACUGCUUAUUCGAGAAUUGACGUCUAUCUAGGAGACUAGGUCAUGAAGGAACAAUCUUGAUGGCUGAGCUCUAACGUUAUCUGAACACACAUGGGUCAAUGACCGCUCACUUUGAAUAUAUUACAACCAGCAAGCAGCAGUUAUCUUGAGCAUUUGCUACUACAUUAUGGUUCUUUAAAAAAAAUGACUUACCAUGACUUUAUUUUGUACGCUAUUUCAGUCCGUGUGGUUGUUUUGCUCACGUAACGCAGCUUAACAUUUGAUGUUGUGCCAUGCGGUCAGUCUAAUUCCCUUUACUGGCUUUAGGCUAGUUAUGGCAUCUCCAGGGUAUUUUGGUGAUGGUCCUCCGAUGCGCGAGCGUGACCCGUACUUCACUGAGGUCAUCAGACAGAGGAUGCAAGUGCCCGAGCGGCUGAGGGUCGGUCCAGCGCCACAUGAGCCUGCAGAGCAAAGACAUGAAGAGCUACCUGCUGCCUACAGCAUGCACAUCCCAGACAGACUGGCCUUAACAGCCGCAGUAUUGGACGCCCACCUGUCGUGCAUACAGACCUGUCCCCACCAAAGCCCCCAGGACUCCCCUCCAUCCCACCCAACCUGCUGUCCCCACAGAGCAUGCUGCAGGCCGCCAAGGAGCUGGGCCAGCAGGCGUCUCAGAAACUCCUCCAGACAGUCACCAAAAAAUACUCCUCCAGGUGACACGGACCCUCAUCCUUCACACCCUGCCUGUCCCCUUCCUGCGGUUGUGGGCUCUAACUAA
Molecule: long non-coding RNA, 804 nt
Filed under: Sinocyclocheilus anshuiensis
Lineage: Eukaryota; Metazoa; Chordata; Actinopteri; Cypriniformes; Cyprinidae
Description: lncRNA (ENSSANG00000035177.1)
Source: RNAcentral